GUCAGGAUGGCCGAGCGGUCUAAGGCGCUGCGUUCAGAUUUCUGUUCUGUGGGCGUGAGUUCGAAUCCCACUUCUGGCA
Non-coding RNA from Trichonephila clavipes, 79 nucleotides. Lineage: Eukaryota; Metazoa; Arthropoda; Arachnida; Araneae; Nephilidae. The record is from the annotation of a GenBank genome assembly.